AAGACUGUAGGGCUAACAAGGGAGGACUGAAAGGAGACAGCCACUGUAGGGAGUAUAUAUGGUACUCUACCUUCAGGGCAGCAGGGGUAAAGAGAUUCUAGGGAGCUACCAGAAAGGCUGGGAAGUGCUAAGAGAAGGCUUUUGCAGUAGAUUGGCCUGAAGCUGUUUGAGGAGUCAGGCUUUGAGAGAGAGAGAGAGAGAGAGAGAGAGAGGUGGAAUAUGUAGUUCUGGGAAAGGUGCUUGUAGACAGGCAGAGGUAGGAAGCAGCCAGGGCUUGUACAGAACAGGUUUUAGCUGCUUACAUGCAGCACCCUGGACAGGAAAACUGAGAAGGGGGCAGCUCUGGCUUUCCCUACCAGCCCUAGGAAGGGGACUAGAAAAGCCCCCCUGAGGAAGGGGGCAAGGACUAAAGGGCACAGGCCAGGGCUGAUGUUCAUGAUGUGAUACAGGGAUGUGGGACUUUUGGCCUGUGGGCUUCUUUACUACUACUGAAGGAGGUUAUGAAUGACUUGGCUUUGGGCUGCCCCUGUGAGAAGCGGCAGCCCGCUGCAGGGACAAACUGUCUUGUGGAGGAAAAGGAGGCAGAGUUGCUGCAACAUAACACCCAACUGUGAGGGGAAUGUGCUGGCUGGGUGCUGUUACCGCACAAGCUGUUUGCCUGCUUGAACAAUCAACCUACUGUUAUUUGCAGAAGCAUAAACAAAUAUGAUCUUUAAAUUCUACACCCAAAAGCCUCCUAUCUCCUGAGAAGCAGUGGGCGAUAGCACAUACCGACAAUACAAAUGUACAGACAUCUGACUUCUAUGGAUUUUUUUAAUGAAAGAAGGUUUUGUAGUGUAGUACCCAAAGCAUAACCCUGCUGUAUCUGUACACAACACUGAGCCACAUGGUACAAAAUUAGUUAGGAGCAUCAGAAAGUAUUUUCAGAGUCAUAUAGUUAAAAACUGCAUUUUAAUAUUAAUGAAAAAAAUUCUAAGUCAUAUUUGAAGAUCUGGGUGUAACUCACAAUAUUUAUUCUGUCACAAGCCACAGCAGCUAUAAUUAUUAUUUAAAACUGGUCUGAAUUAACAGCAAUUUAGUUUUUGGCUAGGAAAGAUGUUUUUUACACAGGUUUCUCUCCUUUCUUUUUAUGAUCUGAUAUUUAUGUCCCUGGUAAGACGCACAGUAUACAGAAGUUUCAGUGCAGAUUCUCUUGUACUCACCGCAUUCUUUGUAGUAAUGUUGCUGUUGUAGCUUCCCCUUCACACUGUGCUCUGAGACCAUGGGCCAGACAUGGUAUAUUUAGCCAACUUUAUGGGGAACUAAAUUACAGGUGCACGACAAAGCUGGAACUGAAGAGGGACACUUGACUAACUAUUACAUUCAGUGCUAAUGAGGAGGAGAUACUGUACCAAGCUGCGCGUACACACACAUGGAGGGGAGGAGCGGCUCUGUGAACUGGUUACAGAAACUAAGUGGCCCCUGAGGAUGCUAAAAGAGCUGCCUCCUGUUGUUGCUCCGAGCUCCUCCAUGUCAGGCCCUUGAGAGAAUCUCAACAAGUCAGCCGAUGCCAAAUUCUGGCUUUUUUCAUGCUGACUGAUGCCUCACACAGAGCAUAAGGCCUGCUUCUACCAACAAACAGGGAUGGAAGUGAACAUAACCAACUCCAAGCCUUGGCAUGAUGAAGAAAUCACAUUACAGGAUAACCUGAAAUAUGUCAUAAAAGCCUUUUGCAAAGAUGAAAUGCUUGGCAUUACCUCAAGCUCUUCCAGAGAGAAACAUGUUUUCAACAGUGACAGGUGUAAAACAAUCAGCUUGAGAGGUUCCUGUGAUGUCUUCUGUCAAAGUAAAUCCAGCAAAACAAAUUCCUCUGGAAGAUUUCCAUGAAGCCUUCCCACAAGCAACAGUAAACAGCACCUUUCACAGAACUUCAGGUAGCUGCUAAAGUACAAUUGUGGAAUUACUGAAUGGGAAAACUGAGAAAUGGGAAAAUUUUGCUAUGUGGCAUAUCAAACAAUUAAACGCCAAUGAUAUUUGUUUUGCUUUUACUAAUGUACUCUAUCAAAUAGUGAGAGUACUAGUAUGAAAAAUGUUGAAAAUAAGUGAUUAGAAGGAAACUUGCUUCCUGCCCUCCCACUCCUCCCCCGCUCAAAAAAAGCCAUAAGUGGUCUUCUGAAAUGUCUAGCUUUUCUUAUUUUUCCCUUCAGUGGCAUAACAAGAGUAGAUAGCAGCCCUGGAUCUUUUUGUAAUGGC
Long non-coding RNA from Mauremys reevesii (Reeves's turtle), 2232 nucleotides. RefSeq lists it as uncharacterized. The transcript has 5 exons. NCBI's taxonomy places the organism in Eukaryota, Metazoa, Chordata, Testudines, Geoemydidae. The record is from RefSeq and is a predicted model, not a curated record.